Molecule: transfer RNA, 69 nt
Filed under: Ovis aries (sheep)
Lineage: Eukaryota; Metazoa; Chordata; Mammalia; Artiodactyla; Bovidae
Rfam family: tRNA
About the family: Transfer RNA (tRNA) molecules are approximately 80 nucleotides in length.
Source: Rfam by way of RNAcentral
CCUGGUGGCUCAGAGGUUAAAGUCUCUGCCUGGAAUGCAGGAGACCAGGGUUUGAUCCCUGGGUCAGGA